This 846-nucleotide long non-coding RNA is filed under the name Phoenix dactylifera (date palm). Its description in RNAcentral is "long non-coding RNA (PDAC_LNC017263)". Lineage: Eukaryota; Viridiplantae; Streptophyta; Magnoliopsida; Arecales; Arecaceae. The record is from RNAcentral.
AACCAAAAGUACAAUCACAUCAAAACCCAUAUCAAGUUUAAACUUUCAAGUCGUUUAAAUAAUAUCUGAACAUCGUAUAACCGAUAUGCCAUUGUUGACCUUCCUACACUUAUCUUAGGUCAAACCUCUCUUAUCAUGAUCAAAGACAAUUUAUACUUUCCUUCCACACUCAUCGAAAACCAAAUUCGAUGCAUACAUUUUGUCACAAUACCCAGUGAUCUUACAUAUGCUCAGAUUCCAACUGGUCACAUUUUCCAAUAAUCUUAAACCUCAAACUUUAAUGCCACUAAGGCCACAGUCCCUAGUGGUCUUAAACCUUAGAUUAUAAUAUCAUUCUUGUUACAAUCUCAAGUGAUUAUAAACCAAAUCUCUGAUAAUUUUUCUAUCAUAAUUCUCCACUGAUACUCACCUGAACAUAAACCCUAGGAUACCUCAACCUUAAGCUCUGAUACCACUCUGUCACGCUCCGAACCCAGCACCCGGGUCCGGUACGCGACCGGCCGCAUGAGCCCUAGAGCAGUGCCCUAAAGAUCAUGCAAGGCCUAUGAUUAACAAAAAUUCCAAUAAAUCCACAACUAAUUUAGAAAUUCAAAUAGACAAAUCCGACAUGUCAAAAUAAAUAAAUUAGUUCAUUUACGAGCUCUUCAAAUGUUCAUCGACAUCAAAGAAGGAUAAACAACUGACUAACUAAUGACUCUGGUGCUCGCACUCUGCGCCCAUCCCAUCCAAAACUAUGCAUCCUGCAACUCUGGUAAAGAAAAAGAAGAAAAGGGAGUGAGCUUUACAGCCCAGUAAGAAUCCCUACACAUCCAUACCAACACAAUAAUAAUAUGAAUUUGAAAGCCA